Molecule: ribosomal RNA, 375 nt
Filed under: saccharomycete sp. MVCH-J13
Lineage: Eukaryota; Fungi; Ascomycota; Saccharomycetes
Description: eukaryotic LSU rRNA
Rfam family: 5.8S ribosomal RNA (bases 87-239)
Source: RNAcentral
CUGUGAUUUAUAUCUUAUACACAUGCGUGAGCGCACCAAACACCUAAAAUUGUAAUAAUACCAGUCACUAAGUUUUAACAAAACAAAACUUUCAACAACGGAUCUCUUGGUUCUCGCAUCGAUGAAGAGCGCAGCGAAAUGCGAUACCUAGUGUGAAUUGCAGCCAUCGUGAAUCAUCGAGUUCUUGAACGCACAUUGCGCCCCAUGGUAUUCCAUGGGGCAUGCCUGUCUGAGCGUCGUUUCCUUCUUGCGCAAGCAGAGUUGAGAACAGGCUAUGCCUUUUUCGAAAUGGAACGUCGUGGACGAAGUGAACUAAACUUUUAGCACGCUUUGGCCGCCGAACUUUUAACUAAGCUCGACCUCAGAUCAGGUAGG